UUAAGUUCAGCGGGUAGUCCUACCUGAUUUGAGGUCAGAUCGAAUGAAUGGUGUCCCCAAAGGGACGGUUUAUGAGGCGGAGCUCGAGACCACGGAAUCAGCGACGACUUAUCACGCUGAUCACUGGGUCAAGAACCGACCACCUGUCACAUUUAAGGCGAGCCGCUUGUUACCACGGCAGACACCCAAGUCCAAGUCCG
This 200-nucleotide unclassified non-coding RNA is filed under the name Tremella sp. Its description in RNAcentral is "partial internal transcribed spacer 2". The record is from RNAcentral. Lineage: Eukaryota; Fungi; Basidiomycota; Tremellomycetes; Tremellales; Tremellaceae.